GAUGAACGCUGGCGGCGUGCCUAAUACAUGCAAGUCGAGCGAACAGACGAGGAGCUUGCUCCUCUGACGUUAGCGGCGGACGGGUGAGUAACACGUGGAUAACCUACCUAUAAGACUGGGAUAACUUCGGGAAACCGGAGCUAAUACCGGAUAAUAUAUUGAACCGCAUGGUUCAAUAGUGAAAGACGGUUUUGCUGUCACUUAUAGAUGGAUCCGCGCCGCAUUAGCUAGUUGGUAAGGUAACGGCUUACCAAGGCAACGAUGCGUAGCCGACCUGAGAGAGUGAUGGGCCACACUGGAACUGAGACACGGUCCAGACUCCUACGGGAGGCAGCAGUAGGGAAUCUUCCGCAAUGGGCGAAAGCCUGACGGAGCAACGCCGCGUGAGUGAUGAAGGUCUUCGGAUCGUAAAACUCUGUUAUUAGGGAAGAACAAAUGUGUAAGUAACUAUGCACGUCUUGACGGUACCUAAUCAGAAAGCCACGGCUAACUACGUG
RNAcentral lists this ribosomal RNA (497 nucleotides) under uncultured bacterium. RNAcentral's name for it is "partial 16S ribosomal RNA". It matches the Rfam family "Bacterial small subunit ribosomal RNA", at positions 28 to 507 of the family's 1533-position model. The record is from RNAcentral.